UAGUGGCCACAAUGGCUGUGGCCCUCACUUCUGCACUGUGCAGAGGGCCCUAGGGGCCCUGGCCUCUGGGCCUGAGCUCAAGGCCACCACGGUAGUGUCCCAUCAGAAACGUAUGACAUCCUGCUGCUCCUGCUCCAUCCCGAGGUGGCAUCCCCCAGUUUUCUGGGUGUACACAUCCAUCUCCUAAGCUUGGCUGGUGGGCGUCUGCCCAGAUGAGGGGGCCAAGGACCCAACUCUGCACAACAGCAAAUGCAUUCAGGGAGGGCCACUGGGACCUCCAGGAGCUGCUGAGAUACGACCCAAGUCCCAGGCGUGUGCAGGACUCAUGGGGCCAGAGGCAUAAUUUCACUCUUGUUGCCCAGGCUGGAGUGCAAUGGUGUGUGUGAUCUCAGCUCACUGCAACCUCCACCUCCCCGGUUCAAGCAAUUCUCCUGCCUCAACCUCCCAAGUAGCUGCGAUUACAGAUGCAGCUGGAAUCAAAGUCCCACCAAGGGGAGGAGACAGGGACCCCAAAGGCACCUGCUAUCUUUAUCAAUAGAGAACAGACAAUAAUGGGACACCAGUGCUGUGGAAUGGUGUGCAGGCGUUUGAAGGAGGGAGGUCAGGCCACACAGGCUGUCCUGGAAAGGCAUCCAGCCUGGGCGACAGAGCGAGACUCCGACUCAAAAAAAGAAGUCCUGGGGCAUCUGCAGAAAUAGCUGUGGACCAACUACAGGAGGAGCAGAAAACAACAAGAGUUGCUGAGGAUGUGGAGCAAUUGGAACCCUUAUGCACUUGUGCGCUGUCAUCGGGAAUGCAAAAUGGCAUCACUAGAAUGGAAAACAGCACAGCAGUUCCUCCAAAAAUUAAAAAUAGAAUUAUCAUAUGAUCCAGCAAUUCCACUUCUGGGCAUAUACCCAAAAGAUUUGAAAGCAGGAACUUGAAGAGAUAUUUAUACACCCAUGUUCAUAGCAGCAUCUUUAGCAAAAGCCAAAAGGUGGAAACAACCCAUUCAUCUGUCCAUUGGCAGAUGAAUGGAUAAACAAAACGUAGUAUAUACAUAAAAUGGAAUAUUAUUCUGCCUUAAAAAGGAAGGAGAUUAUGACAUAUGCUGCAAAGCAAAUGAAGCCUGAGGAUAUUAUGGUAAGUGAAAUAAGUCACAAAAGGACAAAUAUGGUAAGAGAUACCUAGAGUAAUCAGAUUCAUAGAGACAGAAAGUAGAAUGGUAGUGGCCUGGGCCUGGGGGAGAGAAAU
Long non-coding RNA from Gorilla gorilla gorilla (western lowland gorilla), 1233 nucleotides. RefSeq lists it as uncharacterized. The transcript has 5 exons. Lineage: Eukaryota; Metazoa; Chordata; Mammalia; Primates; Hominidae. The record is from RefSeq and is a predicted model, not a curated record.